Long non-coding RNA from Alligator sinensis (Chinese alligator), 205 nucleotides. RefSeq lists it as uncharacterized. The record is from RefSeq and is a predicted model, not a curated record. The transcript is spliced from 3 exons. NCBI's taxonomy places the organism in Eukaryota, Metazoa, Chordata, Crocodylia, Alligatoridae.
CUGCACCCUGGGGAAUUGGGGAACUCGCUGCCCAGGGGAGUCCAUCGCCCCAGCAGCUCUUUCCUUCCCCAGGCGGAGAAACCCCGUGGCGGGCAGCGCCGUCAGCAGGAGGAGCUGGAGGCGCUUCGGGCCCGGCUGGCACAGGCGGAGCAGGACAUGGAAACUGUGCUGUCCUGCGCACGGCAAAGGGAGGAGCAGCUCCGGG